RNAcentral lists this ribosomal RNA (497 nucleotides) under uncultured bacterium. Its description in RNAcentral is "partial 16S ribosomal RNA". It matches the Rfam family "Bacterial small subunit ribosomal RNA", at positions 28 to 507 of the family's 1533-position model. The record is from RNAcentral.
GAUGAACGCUGGCGGCGUGCCUAAUACAUGCAAGUCGAGCGAACGGACGAGAAGCUUGCUUCUCUGAUGUUAGCGGCGGACGGGUGAGUAACACGUGGAUAACCUACCUAUAAGACUGGGAUAACUUCGGGAAACCGGAGCUAAUACCGGAUAAUAUUUUGAACCGCAUGGUUCAAAAGUGAAAGACGGUCUUGCUGUCACUUAUAGAUGGAUCCGCGCUGCAUUAGCUAGUUGGUAAGGUAACGGCUUACCAAGGCAACGAUGCAUAGCCGACCUGAGAGGGUGAUCGGCCACACUGGAACUGAGACACGGUCCAGACUCCUACGGGAGGCAGCAGUAGGGAAUCUUCCGCAAAGGGCGAAAGCCUGACGGGGCAACGCCGCGUGAGUGAUGAAGGUCUUCGGAUCGUAAAACUCUGUUAUUAGGGAAGAACAUAUGUGUAAGUAACUGUGCACAUCUUGACGGUACCUAAUCAGAAAGCCACGGCUAACUACGUG